Molecule: long non-coding RNA, 1181 nt
Organism: Callithrix jacchus (white-tufted-ear marmoset)
Lineage: Eukaryota; Metazoa; Chordata; Mammalia; Primates; Cebidae
Source: Ensembl
CUCAGAAUUAAUAAUUAGCUCACAAUCUCGGGGCUACAAAUACAUGUUUUCAGGGACAUCAGCAAAACCCUCUUAAUCAAACGAACACCCCAAAACCCUGCUUUAUUCUUCCGUUUUUGCACAAGGCAGCUGGAAUCCAGGUUCAAAUAAUUAUCUGGCCAUUCUGUCUUCGCAAGGGUCCUUUUCCCUUUUGGGAGAAGGGAGGAAAGGGUGGAAGCAGCUUCCACUCACUCCAGCUCGGGCUUGGAUCAGCUCCCUGGGCGUCGCGAAGCCCGCCCCGGUGCCACCCACGCGGCCAUUUCCGCCGCAGAGGCCUAGACUGCGCCGCCGGCUCACGUAGAGUCCAGCGGACCAUACGGCUAGCUCUGGCGGCGCCAGCUCUGCUCUCCUCCGGUCACCAGGGGGCGCCAGAAACAAUGGCGUAUCCCGAAAGGGACGGCGGCUACGUGACUAGGGGGUCACGCGCAGGGUCGUGGGGGACCGCCUGGGAUUCCCGGACGGCUGCGAGGAGGGAGCGGCGAAGUGCCGAGCUGGCUCCGGCUGCUUUCCUCCCUCCACCGCCUGCUCGUUUCGACGCGCGCGGGCGGGACAGUGAGGCUGCAGCGGCGAAAGCGACUAAAGUCUGGGAGCAGCUGCGUGAGCUUUCCGGUUACUGGGAGGCCCCGGGAACAGACACCUCACCCUGACAUUGUGGCAGGGUGGGAAAACAUGUAAGAAUGGAGGCUCCCCCCUCCCUUGCAGGUGCCGCUCAAGAACCACUCUCUCCAAGAUGUUUUCCUGGAUUUCCUCAGCCUAAAAUAAUCCCUCUUUUUCCUGGGAGUGUUGGGCAGUGCUCAGAAGAGGUUUUUGGGGUCAGAGAUGUAAGGACUUCUUUGACUGGCUUCUCCCAACAGAAACAGAUUCCAGCUGCGGAGCAAGGGCCAUGCCAUCUGGAACAGAUGACCUCCAAGGACACCAUAGCAAAGAAAAGGAGAACUGGAAGCCCAUGUGCCUUAAUCCCCUCAUCCCAGAGGGAACUCCAGGAGCAUGUGAGGAAUAACUGCCCAGAGAAACCUGUUCAAAUCCCAGGGUCUGAGGCUUUUAUGUGUAGAGGAACAGCUCUGUCAUGGCAACCUGGCAACACAGACCACACAGACAAAGACUUGACCUGCAGUUUAUCUGAAUCUUGGCAGAACUUGUGA